GAUGAACGCUGACAGAAUGCUUAACACAUGCAAGUCGAUUCGAUUUACCUUCGGGUAUUGAGGAUGGCGGACGGGUGAGUAACGCGUAAGGAACUUGCCUCUUGGUCUGGGACAACUGUUGGAAACGACAGCUAAUACCGGAUAUUAUGAGAUUCUCGCAUGGGAAACUUAUGAAAGCUAUAUGCGCCAAGAGAGAGCCUUGCGUUCCAUUAGCUAGUUGGUGGGGUAACGGCCCACCAAGGCGACGAUGGAUAGCCGGCCUGAGAGGGUGAACGGCCACAAGGGGACUGAGACACGGCCCUUACUCCUACGGGAGGCAGCAGUGGGGAAUAUUGGNNNNNGGGCGNNNAGCNNNNNNCAGCAAUUCUGUGUGCACGAUGAAGGUCUUCGGAUUGUAAAGUGCUUUCAGUUGGGAAGAAGAAAGUGACGGUACCAACAGAAGAAGCGACGGCUAAAUACGUGCCAGCAGCCGCGGUAAUACGUAUGUCGCAAGCGUUAUCCGGAUUUAUUGGGCGUAAAGCGCGUCUAGGCGGAAAAAUAAGUCUGAUGUUAAAAUGCGGGGCUCAACUCCGUAUUGCGUUGGAAACUGUUUUUCUAGAGUACUGGAGAGGUGGGCGGAACUACAAGUGUAGANGUGAAAUUCGUAGAUAUUUGUAGGAAUGCCNAUGGAGAAGUCAGCUCACUGGACAGA
RNAcentral lists this ribosomal RNA (691 nucleotides) under uncultured prokaryote. Its description in RNAcentral is "partial 16S ribosomal RNA". It matches the Rfam family "Bacterial small subunit ribosomal RNA", at positions 28 to 737 of the family's 1533-position model. The record is from RNAcentral.